Molecule: ribosomal RNA, 835 nt
Filed under: Aeromonas sp.
Lineage: Bacteria; Pseudomonadati; Pseudomonadota; Gammaproteobacteria; Aeromonadales; Aeromonadaceae
Description: bacterial SSU rRNA
Source: RNAcentral
AGUCGAGCGGCAGCGGGAAAGUAGCUUGCUACUUUUGCCGGCGAGGGGCGGAGGGGUGAGUAAUGCCUGGGUAAGUGCCCUCUCGAGGGGGAUAACARUUGGAAACGAGCGCUAAUACCGCACACCCCCUACGGGGGAAAGCGGGGGACCUUCGGGCCUUGCGCGAUUGUAUAUGCCCAGGUGGGAUUAGCUUGUUGGUGAGGUAAUGGCUCACCAAGGCCACGAUCCCUAUCUGGUCUGAGAGGAUGAUCACCCACACUGGAACUGACACACGGCCCACACUCCUACGGGAGGCAGCAGUGGGGAAUAUUGCACAGUGGGSGAAACCCUGAUGCACCCGUGCCGCGUGUGAGAAAAAGGCCUUCGGGUUGUAAAGCACUUUCAGCGAGGAGGAAAGGUUGAUGUCUAAUACUGAUCAUCUGUGACGUUACUCACAAAAAAAACACCGGCUAACUCCGUGCCCGCACCCGCGGUAAUACAGAGGGUGCAAGCGUUAAUCGGAAUUACUGGGCGUAAAGCGCACGCAGGCGGUUGGAUAAGUUAGAUGUGAAACCCCCGGGCUCAACCUGGGAAGUGCAUUUAAAACUGUCCCGCUAGAGUCUUGUAGAGGGGGGUAGAAUUCCAGGUGUAGCGGUGAAAUGCGUAGAGAUCUGGAGGAAUACCGGUGGCGAAGGCGGCCCCCUGGACAAAGACUGACGCUCAGGUGCGAAAGCGUGGGGAGCAAACAGGAUUAGAUACCCUGGUAGUCCACGCCGUAAACGAUGUCGAUUUGGAGGCUGUGUCCUUGAGACGUGGCUUCCGGAGCUAACGCGUUAAAUCGACCGCCUGGGGAGUA